UCCCUGGUGGUCCAGUGGCUAAGACUCUGUGCUCCCAAUGCAGAGGGCGCCGGUUUGAUCCCUGAUCAGGGAA
Molecule: transfer RNA, 73 nt
Filed under: Bos taurus (domestic cattle)
Lineage: Eukaryota; Metazoa; Chordata; Mammalia; Artiodactyla; Bovidae
Also listed under: 2 other names
Rfam family: tRNA
About the family: Transfer RNA (tRNA) molecules are approximately 80 nucleotides in length. Their secondary structure includes four short double-helical elements and three loops (D, anti-codon, and T loops). Further hydrogen bonds mediate the characteristic L-shaped molecular structure. tRNAs have two regions of fundamental functional importance: the anti-codon, which is responsible for specific mRNA codon recognition, and the 3' end, to which the tRNAs corresponding amino acid is attached (by aminoacyl-tRNA synthetases). tRNAs cope with the degeneracy of the genetic code in two manners: having more than one tRNA (with a specific anti-codon) for a particular amino acid; and 'wobble' base-pairing, i.e. permitting non-standard base-pairing at the 3rd anti-codon position.
Source: Rfam by way of RNAcentral